This 597-nucleotide long non-coding RNA is filed under the name Chrysemys picta bellii (western painted turtle). RNAcentral describes it as "lncRNA (ENSCPBG00000021491.1)". The record is from RNAcentral. Lineage: Eukaryota; Metazoa; Chordata; Testudines; Emydidae.
AUGAGGAGUACCUGUCCCAGGCAUGAAGGGAGACAGGGGCCGUCGGAAGCAGCGUUCGCCCUCGUUCUGUGCUUGCUGGUGGUGGCCCCCCUGGAGACCCAGGCCGAGGCUGAUCUCAAAGACUGUCGCAAUAUCUCCAGGGCAGUGUCUGAAGGAGACACUGUGGUUAUUCCAUUGAACACAUCAAAGAUGAUGGACGUGUACAAAUGGAACUCCUCCAUUUCCACCUGGGAAUUAGUUCUUAUCUAUAAUGGAAAGUCUCAUUCUGGGAAACGUCCCUUCACAGAUCAGCUCACUGUAUCCCAGGAGCAGUUCACAGUGAUGAACGUGAGCAGAGAGUUACAAGGAGUCUAUAUGGUUACCUUAUACCUGUCUGAGAAAUGUGUGGCUCUCAUCAACCUGACAGCGAGGGCUCCUAUGGCACCUCCAUCGGUUAUACCCGGGAACGAAGCUCCUGCAGCCCGUAAGCACUUAUUCUUUCCUAGAGCUCUCCUAAAACUCAUCUCUAGCACUGUCCACAACGGUGAUUCAGUCGGUGACACUUAUGUCAGUCUGGGAGGGGCAGGGGUCAGGUCACAACCCCGACAAAAGUACUAG